Molecule: transfer RNA, 63 nt
Filed under: Oberthuerella sharkeyi
Lineage: Eukaryota; Metazoa; Arthropoda; Insecta; Hymenoptera; Liopteridae
Description: tRNA-Thr
Source: RNAcentral
AGCUAUAUAGUUUAAUAAAAACUUUAAUUUUGUAAAUUAAGAAUAAAUUUAUUUUUAUAGCUA